CUACUUACCUUGCACAGGAGAUACCGUGUCACGAGGCGGUUCUCCCAGGGCGAGGCUCACCAUUGCACUCCGGUGGUGCUGACCCCUGCGAUUAAACCCCAAAAUGUGGUACUCGAGUGCGCAAUUUUUGUUAUGGGGACUGCGUUCGCGCUAUCCCCCU
This 160-nucleotide small nuclear RNA is filed under the name Penaeus monodon (black tiger shrimp). Its description in RNAcentral is "U1 spliceosomal RNA". It matches the Rfam family "U1 spliceosomal RNA". From Rfam's summary of the family: U1 is a small nuclear RNA (snRNA) component of the spliceosome (involved in pre-mRNA splicing). Its 5' end forms complementary base pairs with the 5' splice junction, thus defining the 5' donor site of an intron. There are significant differences in sequence and secondary structure between metazoan and yeast U1 snRNAs, the latter being much longer (568 nucleotides as compared to 164 nucleotides in human). The record is from RNAcentral. Lineage: Eukaryota; Metazoa; Arthropoda; Malacostraca; Decapoda; Penaeidae.